This 195-nucleotide ribosomal RNA is filed under the name Meloidogyne minor. Its description in RNAcentral is "partial 18S ribosomal RNA". It matches the Rfam family "Eukaryotic small subunit ribosomal RNA", at positions 1641 to 1831 of the family's 1831-position model. The record is from RNAcentral. Lineage: Eukaryota; Metazoa; Nematoda; Chromadorea; Rhabditida; Meloidogynidae.
UUGAUUACGUCCCUGCCCUUUGUACACACCGCCCGUCGCUGCCCGGGACUGAGCCAUUUCGAGAAAUUUGGGGACUGUUGAUUUAACUUUUUUUUAAAAAGUUUUUUUGAUGGAAACCAAUUUAAUCGCAGUGGCUUGAACCGGGCAAAAGUCGUAACAAGGUAGCUGUAGGUGAACCUGCUGCUGGAUCAUUAC